This 495-nucleotide ribosomal RNA is filed under the name uncultured bacterium. Its description in RNAcentral is "partial 16S ribosomal RNA". It matches the Rfam family "Bacterial small subunit ribosomal RNA", at positions 28 to 507 of the family's 1533-position model. The record is from RNAcentral.
GACGAACGCUGGCGGCGUGCCUAAUACAUGCAAGUAGAACGCUGAAGGAGGAGCUUGCUUCUCUGGAUGAGUUGCGAACGGGUGAGUAACGCGUAGGUAACCUGCCUGGUAGCGGGGGAUAACUAUUGGAAACGAUAGCUAAUACCGCAUAAUAGUAGAUGUCGCAUGACAUUUGCUUAAAAGGUGCAAUUGCAUCACUACCAGAUGGACCUGCGUUGUAUUAGCUAGUUGGUGAGGUAACGGCUCACCAAGGCAACGAUACAUAGCCGACCUGAGAGGGUGAUCGGCCACACUGGGACUGAGACAGGGCCCAGACUCCUACGGGAGGCAGCAGUAGGGAAUCUUCGGCAAUGGACGGAAGUCUGACCGAGCAACGCCGCGGGAGUGAAGAAGGUUUUCGGAUCGUAAAGCUCUGUUGUAAGAGAAGAACGAGUGUGAGAGUGGAAAGUUCACACUGUGACGGUAUCUUACCAGAAAGGGACGGCUAACUACGUG